RNAcentral lists this long non-coding RNA (1868 nucleotides) under Solanum tuberosum (potato). RNAcentral describes it as "long non-coding RNA (STUB_LNC002083)". Lineage: Eukaryota; Viridiplantae; Streptophyta; Magnoliopsida; Solanales; Solanaceae. The record is from RNAcentral.
AGCUGAAGAGUCCGGAAAGUUCACAAAAAAUUAAAAUUAAAUUAACCUUAAUGUAUUUAAGUUCAUGCUGCAUACUAUUAUUGUUUUCUGAUGUUAACACCCACACCAACACACACCCACCCACACACACUUGGAAAUUUUAGAAAUUUUGGUUAAAUUUGUAUCUAAGUUCAAUGAGCUCAUUGUCGAAAUGGAUAGCCGGCAAUACUUCUGUUGUUCCCUAUUUAUUUAUUUUCGAAUUGGAUUUCUGGAUUCGCUAUUGCAUCUGUUGUUCCCUAAAUUCUUUCAGUUCAAUGUCUAAAUUGAUUGAUCAAGGAAGCAAAAUCUCUUGAGAUAGAGCACUAGCUUCAGUACUCUAUACUUCUGUUCUUAUAUGGUGUAGAUUCUCUACUUUUUGGUAUACCUUUAGUAUAUGGGAGAUUUUCACGUUACUAAAAUUACUUACCUUCUCAAAAUAUAUUAUUAUAUGGACUUCUUUGUUUAUCAGGUUAUGAGGAUCUGGUUCAGCUGAGAGAGAAUGAAAACUCAGAAAGGAAUGAGACUGCAGCUAUACUUGGUGGUGGAAAAGGUAAGACGUGUUGUAACUUUUUUAUUUUUAUGUUGGUGGCGGGAAAGAAGAUAAGAUUGUGCUUGGUGAUUUUUGGAGCAUACUUUUAAUAUUCAGAUCACAUGAUGACCAAAGCAAAAUACCAGAAGUCUUGAGUGGAGGAUAAGGUCCAGAUCCAUCGGCAAAUUUUCCACCAACUUUGGCAGGGAAAUGAGUAGCUUUUGAGCUAACUUUCUUGAUCUUUAUUAAGGUACUUUCUUUUGACACAAAAACAAGAGCCAAAAAGAAAAGUUACUAAUAGAAUAUUAUUAUUAUUUUUAUUUUAUUUUUUCUAUUUCAAAAAAAAUAUUCUAUUAGUAACUUUUCUUUUUGGCUCUCGUUUUUGUGUCAAAAGAAAGUACCUUAAUAAAGAUCAAGAAAGUUAGCUCAAAAGCUACUCAUUUCCCUGCCAAAGUUGGUGGAAAAUUUGCCGAUGGAUCUGGACCUUAUCCUCCACUCAAGACUUCUGGUAUUUUGCUUUGGCCAUCAUGUGAUCUGAUGUUUGUUCUUUUUUUCUUUUUUUUUGCUUUCUUCAUGACUUAAGUUGAAAUUCUUUUGAAAGUAAAGCAAUGGGGGAUUUUAAGUCACAUCCUCAAAGUUUAACAUAACAAUGUUAAUAUUAAUUAAACAAUGGUAAAAAUGUAAGCCAGUAGUAUAAAACGUUUUUCUUUUAAUUAUCUUGACAAAUCUUAAACGAGUAGCACUUUUGUACAUCUUAAUCACAAACUUCUUCCCUUUUCUCAAGACGCUGAAUUUGAUGUCUUAACGGAUACACUCUAGCAUAAAACAGAGGAGUUCUCUUUUUAUAAUUCAGAUUCUUUCCUCUGGGUGAAUAAUUGCAGCUGAAAGUCCGGAAAGCUGCUAAUGACCCACAAAAAAUUAAAAUUAAAAUAACCUUAAUCUAUUUAAGUUCAUUCUGCAUACUAUUGUUGUUUUCUGAUGUUAACACCCACACACAAACACUUAGAAAUUUUAGAAAAUUUGGUUAAAUUUGUAAAUCAAUGAGCUCACUGUCAAAAUGGAUAGGCGGCAAUACUUCUGUUGUUCCCUAAUUUUUUUUAAUUUUUUUUGUGUAUUCAAUUUCUGGAUUCUCUCUUGCAUCUGUUGCUCCCUAAAUUCUUUCAAUUCAAUGUCUAAAUUGAUUGAUCAAGGCAGAAAAAUCUCUUGAGAUAGAGUAAUUAGCUUCAGUACUCUGUACUUCUGUUCUUAUAUGGUGUAGAUUCUCUACUUUUUGCUAUACCUCUUGUAUAUGGGAGAUUUUCACGUUACUAAAAUUAUUUAC